AUACCUUGGCCUCCCAAAGUGCUCGGAUUACAGGCAUGAGCCACUGUGUCUUUCCAGAAAAUUCUUUCCCAUAUUUGGUAUUUUUCUUUUGCUCACUCUCAUCAACACUUGUUUUGUUUUUGGUGGAGACAGAGAAGGGUAAACACUUCCUCGUCUUGAAUCAUAAAUCUUCUAAUACUCAAAGGCCAUUAGUAUAUUAGCCAUUUGGAGGAAGUGAUUUCAGUGCCUUUAACCUUUCCUUAUAGGAUUCAUUGUUAUGCCGUUAUUUGCCUUUCUACCUCUCCAGGAGCUUCUUAACCAUUCUGGGCCUCAGAUUCUUCACCUAUAAAAUGAGACUGGUGGACUAGAUCUCAAAGACCCCUUCCAGGUCUGAAGUCCUGUCAUGAAUGUCGGCAUCCUUUGAGAAAUCAUGAACAUGUACAAAUGAAAACAGUUUUCUGAACCAUGGAAGGCAAAACUGUAAUCAGCUAUGAAAAGAAGCUGGAGACAGACUGAGGUAGACAAGUUUUACAGUCAGUGAACACAGCAUGAAGUGGGCACAGCAAAGGCCUGAGAGUCAGGAAACUUAAUCUCUGCUUUGAUAACUCAUGUUUCCUAGGGCUGCUGUCACAAAGACCCACAAACCGUAUGGCUCGAACAACAGAAAUGCAUUGUCUCAUAGUUUUUGAGGCUAGACGUCUGAGAUUAAGGACCUUAGAUUUCUAUAUUUUAGAAAGAUGCUAAUGCAAAAAAAAGUUUCUGGAGUCAACUUGCAGUCAUCGAGAAAUCCAGGCAUUAGAAGUACUGCAUUUCUUCCUCCUGGACUCUUGGAUCAUUGAGAGUGUAUUCCAGCCAUUUCUGUUCCUGUACAUGACAUUAUUUGGGAGUCAUAAAGAUUACAAUGUUUGUUCAGAAACUCCAUAAAGCAUUGCAGUUGGCAAGUUAUUGGAAUUUUUCUCUUGCUAUUGGUGUCCAGACUGAGGGGUGCUGCACCUGAGGAUAAGCCCUCCAGGAGCCUCACUUGGACCCAAUGCAGAUGACUAGCCUUGAGCAUGAUGCCAUAAUUGGAUGAGGCACUUAUGAGGCCCUCGGUGUUCCUAGGGUGGGGCAAGCAUACUGUGCAUGCAAGAGGAAAAUAAAUAAUUGUGGUCAGAUGAAACAUGAUGGGAGAUUGGAAAAAAAAUGGCCAACUUUUUAUGCUGACUUUGUCAUCAAGAAGUGGAGUUUUGGGAGCAAAAUGGCUGACUUUUUUUGCUGACUUUCUCAUCAAGAUGUAGAGUUUUGGGAGCUCAAUGAUGAGAACACAUGGACACAUAGAGGGGGACAACACACACUGGGGCCUUUUGGAGGGUGGAGGGUGGGAGGCGGG
Non-coding RNA from Macaca mulatta (Rhesus monkey), 1348 nucleotides. The record is from RefSeq and is a predicted model, not a curated record. NCBI's taxonomy places the organism in Eukaryota, Metazoa, Chordata, Mammalia, Primates, Cercopithecidae.